Molecule: non-coding RNA, 21 nt
Filed under: Arabidopsis thaliana (thale cress)
Lineage: Eukaryota; Viridiplantae; Streptophyta; Magnoliopsida; Brassicales; Brassicaceae
Source: RNAcentral
UAAGAGGUGAACAAAAUAUUC